AGCUCCAAUAGCGUAUAUUAAAGUUGUUGCAGUUAAAAAGCUCGUAGUUGGAUUUGUGGCUCUCAGUGGCGGCUUGACACUUUGUGUUAUUGCCUGCCGCUGUGGCCAUCCUUGGGUGGAUCCUGUGUGGCAUUAGGUUGUCGUGCAGGGGAUGCCCAUCGUUUACUGUGAAAAAAUUAGAGUGUUCAAAGCAGGCUUAUGCCGUUGAAUAUAUUAGCAUGGAAUAAUAAGAUAGGACCUUGGUACUAUUUUGUUGGUUUGCGCACCAAGGUAAUGAUUAAUAGGGACAGUUGGGGGUAUUCGUAUUCCAUUGUCAGAGGUGAAAUUCUUGGAUUUUUGGAAGACGAACUACUGCGAAAGCAUUUACCAAGGAUGUUUUCAUUAAUCAAGAACGAAAGUA
RNAcentral lists this ribosomal RNA (400 nucleotides) under phytoplankton environmental sample. Its description in RNAcentral is "partial small subunit ribosomal RNA". It matches the Rfam family "Eukaryotic small subunit ribosomal RNA", at positions 587 to 991 of the family's 1831-position model. The record is from RNAcentral.